This 794-nucleotide ribosomal RNA is filed under the name Halomonas sp. UT103. Its description in RNAcentral is "bacterial SSU rRNA". It matches the Rfam family "Bacterial small subunit ribosomal RNA", at positions 533 to 1363 of the family's 1533-position model. The record is from RNAcentral. Lineage: Bacteria; Pseudomonadati; Pseudomonadota; Gammaproteobacteria; Oceanospirillales; Halomonadaceae.
UGCAAGCGUUAAUCGGAAUUACUGGGCGUAAGCGCGCGUAGGUGGCUUGAUAAGCCGGUUGUAAGCCCCGGGCUCAACCUGGGAACGGCAUCCGGAACUGUCAGGCUAAGUGCAGGAGAGAAGGUAAUUCCCGGUGUAGCGGUAAAUGCGUAGAGAUCGGGAGGAAUACCAGUGGCAAGGCGGCCUUCUGGACUGACACUGACACUGAGGUGCAAACGUGGGUAGCAAACAGGAUUAGAUACCCUGGUAGUCCACGCCGUAAACGAUGUCGACCAGUGUUGGGUGCCUAGAGCACUUUGUGGCGAAGUUAACGCGAUAAGUCGACCGCCUGGGGAGUACGGCCGCAAGGUUAAAACUCAAAUAAUUGACGGGGGCCCGCACAAGCGUGGAGCAUGUGGUUUAAUUCGAUGCAACGCGAAGAACCUUACCUACCCUUGACAUCUACAGAAGCCGGAAGAGAUUCUGGUGUGCCUUCGGGAACUGUAAACAGGUGCUGCAUGGCUGUCGUCAGCUCGUGUUGUGAAAUGUUGGGUUAAGCCCGUACGAGCGCACCCCUUGCCUUAUUUGCCAGCGAGUAAUGUCGGGAACUCUAAGGGACUGCCGGUGACAAACCGAGGAAGGUGGGGACGCGUCAAGUCAUCAUGCCUUCGGGUAGGCUACAAAUACAAUGCCGGUCAAAGGGCUGCGAGCUCGCGAGAGUCAGAUUCUUAAAGCCCGGUCUCAGACCGGAUCGGAGUCUGCAACUCGACCCGGAAGUCGGAAUCGCUAGUAAUCGUGAAUCAGAAUGUCACGGU